Molecule: ribosomal RNA, 501 nt
Filed under: uncultured bacterium
Lineage: Bacteria
Description: bacterial SSU rRNA
Rfam family: Bacterial small subunit ribosomal RNA
Source: RNAcentral
AGAGUUUGAUCCUGGCUCAGAUUGAACGCUGGCGGCAUGCCUUACACAUGCAAGUCGAACGGUAACGGGCCUUCGGGUGCCGACGAGUGGCGAACGGGUGAGUAAUGCAUCGGAACGUACCUUUCAGUGGGGGAUAACGUAGCGAAAGUUACGCUAAUACCGCAUAUUCUGUGAGCAGGAAAGCAGGGGAUCGCAAGACCUUGCGCUGAUUGAGCGGCCGAUGUCAGAUUAGCUAGUUGGUGAGGUAAAGGCUCACCAAGGCGACGAUCUGUAGCGGGUCUGAGAGGAUGAUCCGCCACACUGGAACUGAGACACGGUCCAGACUCCUACGGGAGGCAGCAGUGGGGAAUUUUGGACAAUGGGGCAACCCUGAUCCAGCCAUGCCGCGUGAGUGAAGAAGGCCUUCGGGUUGUAAAGCUCUUUCGGCCGGGAAGAAAUCGCAUGGGUUAAUACCCUGUGCGGAUGACGGUACCGGCAUAAGAAGCACCGGCUAACUACGUG